Molecule: long non-coding RNA, 734 nt
Filed under: Brassica napus (rape)
Lineage: Eukaryota; Viridiplantae; Streptophyta; Magnoliopsida; Brassicales; Brassicaceae
Description: long non-coding RNA (BNAP_LNC025526)
Source: RNAcentral
AAAAGACAAUGUCAAAGAGAGAAAGACACGGUUGAUUCCUCUCCAUCAAAGGAAUCUUGAAAGUCAAAGGUUAAGGAUAGAGAAGAUCAAUUGGUGGAAUUGCAUCCAAGCAUAGAUCAAGGUUAGUGUUUCUCUCUUCUUCUUUUAGAAAACUUUUAGGGUUGAAUUAAGAUAAAUCUAGUUUGGUCUUGGGUAGAUUUCAUAAUUGGAGCAUAAAAGUUAAUCUUACAUUAUAUGCUAUCGGGAAUGAGAGAAACAAAAGGUUACAUACUUCUGUGGCUAGGCACACUUAUUUAAUUACCAAGGAGAUUUAAAUCAUUCUGAAGGCCAAGCUGUAUGGAAUGGAUCAGGAUGUAAGAAACACCAACAGGCAACAGGAUCACAUCAACUCAAACAACCACCGGAGACACGUACCUGCAUUCAUGGUUUCAAAACUUUGCGACAUAAAUUCCCAAGUUCAAGCCAAAUUCUGAAAUUGUUGUUGCACAUGUGUUUUAUUUUCUGCUUUUUACCUUGCCUGUGCCAGCCUAUUUCUUUCUGUAUUUUCUGAAACAAUGUCUCUCUCGGGAAUAAAGAUAAAAAGGAAGUUAGUAAAAAAAGAAAAAAUCAUUUCUCGUAUCGACAAGAGACAACAUCAUUGACUGACUUUGUAUACAUAUAUAAGUUUACAUCGAUUAUAAAAUUAACUUUCCAUUUUAAAAAGUAUUAUAAUUUAUUUUAUGAUUUAUAAACGC